GAUGAAGAACGCAGCGAAAUGCGAUAAGUAAUGCGAAUUGCAGAAUUCAGUGAGUCAUCGAAUCUUUGAACGCACAUUGCGCCCUGUGGUAUUCCGCAGGGCAUGCCUGUUCGAGCGUCAUUUCAACCCUCAAGCUCUGCUUGGUGUUGGGCCACGCCCCCGCGGCCGGCCCCAAAGCUAGUGGCGGUGCCGUCUGGCUCUAAGCGUAGUACAUCUCUCGCUCUAGGGCCCGGCGGUUGCUUGCCAGAACCCACACUCUUAUGGUUGACCUCGGAUCAGGUAGGGAUACCCGCUGAACUUAAGCAUAUCAAUAAGCGGAGGA
This 322-nucleotide unclassified non-coding RNA is filed under the name soil metagenome. Its description in RNAcentral is "partial contains 5.8S ribosomal RNA, internal transcribed spacer 2, and large subunit ribosomal RNA". The stretch from base 1 to 120 matches the Rfam family "5.8S ribosomal RNA", at positions 35 to 154 of the family's 154-position model. The record is from RNAcentral.